Molecule: long non-coding RNA, 232 nt
Filed under: Nicotiana benthamiana
Lineage: Eukaryota; Viridiplantae; Streptophyta; Magnoliopsida; Solanales; Solanaceae
Description: long non-coding RNA (NBEN_LNC015301)
Source: RNAcentral
AGACUCAUUAGUGAGGUUCCUAGAAUUCUUUCUAGAUGGACCAACCUCAUUACUUAUGUCCUUUUUAUUCUCUUCAAUUUUAGGACUAUCAAUACUACGUUUUUCUAGUGCGUUCCUAAGUUCUAUGUUCUCUAAGUUUAAGGAACUACAAGAAGAACAAUUAGAACAAUUAUCAAUAGAAGAGGCUUCAUUCAAUUCCUUGAUUUUAUUUUUGAAAUCAACAAUGUCAUUU